RNAcentral lists this ribosomal RNA (263 nucleotides) under uncultured bacterium. RNAcentral describes it as "partial 16S ribosomal RNA". It matches the Rfam family "Bacterial small subunit ribosomal RNA", at positions 793 to 1055 of the family's 1533-position model. The record is from RNAcentral.
GUCCACGCCGUAAACGAUGAUAACUAGCUGUCCGGGUACUUGGUAUCUGGGUGGCGCAGCUAACGCAUUAAGUUAUCCGCCUGGGGAGUACGGUCGCAAGAUUAAAACUCAAAGGAAUUGACGGGGGCCUGCACAAGCGGUGGAGCAUGUGGUUUAAUUCGAAGCAACGCGCAGAACCUUACCAGCGUUUGACAUCCCGCGCUACCCAGAGAGAUUUGGGGUUCCCUUCGGGGACGCGGUGACAGGUGCUGCAUGGCUGUCGU